GACUGUGUAGUGUUUUACUGACUGCACAGGUAAGAGCUUGAGGCCAGUUAAUUACCUGUUCACACGCCAGGGAGACUUUUGACACUUCAUUCAAUGACCCUGACGUCCAAUACCCCGACGAAUUAACCGAUGUAAUUAUAUCAAUCAUACCAAUAUUAAUUGAUCAGACCGCGGUCCGCGUGUUUGUGUUUUGACAGCGGUUGAUCUGUGUCGAAUAAAGGCUUAAAUGACUUCGACAAUUAAAGUCAAACGCAUAUAUGACCCCGAUUACUUUGUAACACACGUGACAUGGAUGUUGCGUUUGCAAAACGAAAGUAACAUGGACUGUAGAACAAAAAGACCGUUGAUGAUAAUUUUAUUCUGUAAUCAUGAAGCGGCAACUAAAGCAGCAGUGUAUUGAAUCAUUUUUCGAGAAUUCGCCGAAACGAUAGAAGGCUUAGCCCGGUCUGUUCACCGACAAAGUCAAAACACGGAUCGUCAUUUUUACCGACUGAAUGAAGAAAAAUAUUCAUGGCUAAAGUACGACGAAGAUGAAGGCAUGUUUUGUAAGCAGUCUGCUUACAAAACUUAGCAGACUUAUGGACAGAGACCAGAAAAAGAAAUAUCACUAUCGCCACAUUGUUUGAUCCUGAUGACAAUUAAGUGUGAAGUUGUGCUGUAAGAAAAUGGACAAUUUGUGUGUGAAAAUGACUGACAAUUGUGACAUUGGAAAUCAUAUUAUAUUAGUGCUGUGACAUUACAUAUUGCUAUUGUGUUUAGUGUGAUAUCAUAGUGCUUAUUAUUUUAAGAAAUUUGAGCUUUGGAAGUGUAUCAGUAACAUUUAAUUAGUAAUCUGAAAGAGAGAUAGAGAGAGACCAUGUGUUUGAGAAAGUCUGAGUUGGUAAAGAAAAUGAAGAACGAGCAAUGUAUUAAUUUAAGGAUGUACAAAUAUGGAUGAGUCAGAGAUUGGUAAAUGCUGAUUGCUGUAUUUAUUUUUCUUACAUAUUGAAUAAAUAAAUUCAUAUUACCAUGAUUAAAAUAGUUUAUCAUUAUUUCUGAAAACAAUUUCUAAGAGGAUUUUAAUAACUACUGCACAACAAAUCAUCUCCCUAAAAAUGAAAAGGGACAUAACUCAUGUAAACAAAUUAUCUCCCUUUAAUUAAUUAAUAUUGGUCUUGCGGCGCGCUGG
Long non-coding RNA from Pecten maximus, 1168 nucleotides. RefSeq lists it as uncharacterized. NCBI's taxonomy places the organism in Eukaryota, Metazoa, Mollusca, Bivalvia, Pectinida, Pectinidae. The transcript has 2 exons. The record is from RefSeq and is a predicted model, not a curated record.